This 496-nucleotide ribosomal RNA is filed under the name uncultured bacterium. RNAcentral describes it as "partial 16S ribosomal RNA". It matches the Rfam family "Bacterial small subunit ribosomal RNA", at positions 29 to 507 of the family's 1533-position model. The record is from RNAcentral.
AUGCACGCUGGCGGCGUGCCUAAUCCAUGCAAGUCGCGCGAACAGACGAGGAGCUUGCUCCUUCGACGUUAGCGGCGGACGGGUGAGUAACACGUAGGUAACCUACCUAUAAGACUGGGAUAACUUCGAGAAACCGGAGCUAAUACCGGAUAAUAUUUCGAACCGCAUGGUUCGAUAGUGAAAGAUGGCUUUGCUAUCACUUAUAGAUGGACCUGCGCCGUAUUAGCUAGUUGGUAAGGUAACGGCUUACCAAGGCAACGAUACGUAGCCGACCUGAGAGGGUGAUCGGCCACACUGGAACUGAGACACGGUCCAGACUCCUACGGGAGGCAGCAGUAGGGAAUCUUCCGCAAUGGGCGAAAGCCUGACGGAGCAACGCCGCGUGAGUGAUGAAGGUCUUCGGAUCGUAAAACUCUGUUAUUAGGGAAGAACAAACGUGUAAGUAACUGUGCACGUCUUGACGGUACCUAAUCAGAAAGCCACGGCUAACUACGUG